Molecule: long non-coding RNA, 393 nt
Organism: Panicum virgatum (switchgrass)
Lineage: Eukaryota; Viridiplantae; Streptophyta; Magnoliopsida; Poales; Poaceae
Exons: 4
Source: RefSeq, a predicted model, not a curated record
AGUUUGGACAUGCCUGCAAUUUAGCGUUCUUUUCUUUUUGUACUUCUAGCUCAGGAUAUUGAGCAUGACCAUGAUACUCAGGCGGAAGAUUGGCAUAUUGCACUGGAAGCACUUUGCGAGGUACUGUCAUCUCUACAACCAGCCAUUGUUUACUUUCCAGACAGUUCCCAGUGGCUGUCUAGGGCAGUUCCAAGAUUAAAUCGCAGAGAAUUUGUUGAAAAGGUAGAGGAAAUGUUUGAUCAACUUACUGGACCUCUAGUUUUGAUAUGUGGGCAGAACAUAACAGAGGCAUCAACAGCAGCACCUAAGGAUAAAGAACCUAGGACUCUGCUGUUCCGUAAUCUGGCUCGUCUGUCUCCGCUGUCAUCAUCCUUGAAGCGGCUGGUAGGGGAC